UAAAUUACGAUACAGAAAUGUCUGUCGUGGCGUUGACGAUGCACGGUGGUGUAAACCGCACGUAACGUAUAGUGUUCAAAAUGUUGAUGUACGUGGAGGACAGCGUGAUUGCUAUACCGAUCGCUACUAUGAAAUAGCCGAAAUCGCUCGUAAGCGUUUGGGUGUGAAUUCUGGUUGACUUUGUGGCGUCUGAGAGAAGUGGCUGAUUCUCUUGCUGAGAUCUGGAGGUAAUCGUACAAGAGUUGGCACCUGUGAGGAUUGUUCGUAGUAUUCAGGAAACCGUAGUACGUUGAAUGCGAGUGAGCUCCAGGGGGCAUUGAACGUUGCUCUUUGCCCCUGAAUCGUUUACGAGCACUUGGAUAAACCCAUUCUGUGGUUGCUAUCGCUUGAGUCGACUUCUUCAGAGUCAAGGCUCGGUUGUACAUUACGGGAGGUAACAGAAAGACUAAUGAUCCGGUCAACGAUCCACCAAUUAGAGUCAUAAUAAUAUCGAAUCGCGAUAUCGAUUCGCCUAUAGCCACGCUGAGUAAAACUACCGCCGAUCUCGUGGCACAUCGUUUCCAUCCAAAGGCUGGUCCAGCAUAAUAUCAAAUGAUCUUCUAGAUGUUGGAAGAGCGCUGAGUAGCCAAUCACGCUAGAAAAGCAUAGCUGAAGAGCUGCUAAUAGAACAGCAACAUUUGCUGCCAGUCCUGGUGGAACAGCUUCGAGGAUAUUGGCAGUCGUAUCGUCACUAUACUUCCAUGCGACUAGGGAAACGGUAACGACGAACAUUGAUCCGCUUGCUAUCGUGUAACAAAAAAGUAAUCUAGAGCCUCAGCCUCAUUGAAUGAAAUUAAGUAAAAAUUGAACAUAUAUUGGAUUCAUUGGAUAUAUGAACGUGAGAAGAUUGAUAUCGAGGGAUUAAUAAUUGCACAAUUAUUUGACACUUCUGAUAUACAAAGAUAAAACGUACAAAAAUAUAAUUUACUGUUUCUUACUUAUGAAAGAAAAAAAGAUAGCUUUGUCGAUAUUUUGAGGCUGACGCAUAUCGACCUGUAUCGUCAUUAGAGUGGGGUGUACAUCAAACUGAAAGGCCAGCAUGCCAUACCUGCAAAUUGUCUUUGAAAUUAUGUUAUUAUUUUUUCGUUUUUGUAUGCCAUAUCCGAACUGCCAGAAGUAUGCGGUCUUUCACAUAUACGUGUGUUGCGUAAUUAGAGCGUUGAUGUGUAUACAGGACCUACAGCUUAGACGGCAGAUGGCCGGUUUCGAACCGAAAGAACAGUUAAUAUAUUAGAGAGAUUUCCUGGGCUCGCUCUCUAUUAUAUUAUAUCGAUCAUUAAAUUUGAUAUAAGACGCAGACGAUUAUUUAUAUAAAAAAAUGUUGAUGUGUUAAGGAUUACUUAAUUAUUGUACAAUUAUAUUAUGGAGAUAUUUCUUUAACACACGUACGAAGGUGUACAUAAAACUGGUUAUUAUAUUUACCCAGAAAGAAAUUUAUUCCACGUUGGUGAAGUUGUUAUUGGUGCAGCAUCAAAUAUUCGAUCAUCAAUAAUAAUGCUCCACCAUAUUAAUAUAGUUGUUAAAACAACCGUUACGCUAGAGCAUGUUGCCACCCAUCUAUAAUAAUUUACAGGUAAUUUCUGUAUAAUUGCGUUACAUUUUUUAAGUUAUUAAAAUAAAAGUUUAUCCACA
Molecule: long non-coding RNA, 1671 nt
Filed under: Ooceraea biroi (clonal raider ant)
Lineage: Eukaryota; Metazoa; Arthropoda; Insecta; Hymenoptera; Formicidae
Description: uncharacterized LOC113562902, transcript variant X2
Source: RNAcentral